GAUGAACGCUGGCGGCGUGCCUAAUACAUGCAAGUCGAGCGAACGGACGAGAAGCUUGCUUCUCUGAUGUUAGCGGCGGACGGGUGAGUAACACGUGGAUAACCUACCUAUAAGACUGGGAUAACUUCGGGAAACCGGAGCUAAUACCGGAUAAUAUUUUGAACCGCAUGGUUCAAAAGUGAAAGACGGUCUUGCUGUCACUUAUAGAUGGAUCCGCGCUGCAUUUGCUAGUUGGUAAGGUAACGGCUUACCAAGGCAACGAUGCAUAGCCGACCUGAGGGGGUGAUCGGCCACACUGGAACUGAGACACGGUCCAGACUCCUACGGGAGGCAGCAGUAGGGAAUCUUCCGCAAUGGGCGAAAGCCUGACGGAGCAACGCCGCGUGAGUGAUGAAGGUCUUCGGAUCGUAAAACUCUGUUAUUAGGGAAGAACAUAUGUGUAAGUAACUGUGCACAUCUUGACGGUACCUAAUCAGAAAGCCACGGCUAACUACGUG
This 497-nucleotide ribosomal RNA is filed under the name uncultured bacterium. RNAcentral describes it as "partial 16S ribosomal RNA". It matches the Rfam family "Bacterial small subunit ribosomal RNA", at positions 28 to 507 of the family's 1533-position model. The record is from RNAcentral.